UUGGAGGGCAAGUCUGGUGCCAGCAGCCGCGGUAAUUCCAGCUCCAAUAGCGUAUAUUAAAGUUGUUGCAGUUAAAAAGCUCGUAGUUGAAUUUCGGGGUUAGUAGGUUGGUCAUGCCACUGGUAUGUACUGGUCUCACUGAUUCCUCCUUCCUGAUGAGACGUAAUGCCAUUAAUUUGGUGUUGCGAGGAAUCUGGACUGUUACUUUGAAAAAAUUAGAGUGUUUAAAGCAGGCUAACGCUUGAAUACAUUAGCAUGGAAUAAUGAAAUAGGACGUUCGAUCUUAUUUUGUUGGUUUCUAGGAUUGACGUAAUGAUUAAUAGGGAUAGUUGGGGGCAUUAGUAUUCAAUUGUCAGAGGUGAAAUUCUUGGAUUUAUUGAAGACUAACUACUGCGAAAGCAUUUGCCAAGGAUGUUUUCAUUAAUCAAGAACGAAAGUUAGGGGAUCGAAGACGAUCAGAUACCGUCGUAGUCUUAACCAUAAACUAUGCCGACUAGGGAUCGGAUGAUGUUAAUUUUUUAAUGACUCAUUCGGCGCCUUACGGGAAACCAAAGUGUUUGGGUUC
This 565-nucleotide ribosomal RNA is filed under the name uncultured Glomeromycotina. RNAcentral's name for it is "SSU rRNA". It matches the Rfam family "Eukaryotic small subunit ribosomal RNA", at positions 548 to 1114 of the family's 1831-position model. Lineage: Eukaryota; Fungi; Glomeromycota. The record is from RNAcentral.